UUUUUUUAGAUUUUUCUUAAUUAUUGAUUUUUUAUUUAUUUGGGAUUUGGUACGGUUAAUUGAUUUCCAUGCGUUAAUUAAUUUAAUUAGGUUAUUAACAUCUAUGUUCAUAGCUUUACACAUGUAAAUAAUCAUAUUCAAAUUCACUAAACUUUUGAUUUAAAUUUCACUAACUUUCCAUAGUUUCAACAUUUAGUUUCAUUUCCUCCCAUUAGAAUCUAGCAUUCUGG
Molecule: long non-coding RNA, 230 nt
Filed under: Lathyrus oleraceus (garden pea)
Lineage: Eukaryota; Viridiplantae; Streptophyta; Magnoliopsida; Fabales; Fabaceae
Description: Pisum sativum (pea) long non-coding RNA (PSAT_LNC012116)
Source: RNAcentral